Molecule: ribosomal RNA, 100 nt
Filed under: Lotharella globosa
Lineage: Eukaryota; Cercozoa; Chlorarachniophyceae
Description: partial Eukaryotic small subunit ribosomal RNA
Rfam family: Eukaryotic small subunit ribosomal RNA
Source: RNAcentral
ACCUGGUUGAUCCUGCCAGUAGUCAUAUGCUUGUCUCAAAGAUUAAGCCAUGCAUGUCUAAGUAUAAGCGAGUAUACUGCGAAACUGCGAAUGGCUCAUU